This 278-nucleotide long non-coding RNA is filed under the name Elaeis guineensis (African oil palm). RNAcentral describes it as "long non-coding RNA (EGUI_LNC035818)". Lineage: Eukaryota; Viridiplantae; Streptophyta; Magnoliopsida; Arecales; Arecaceae. The record is from RNAcentral.
CUUAGUCUUUCUUUUGUUACCAUUUCAGGGUAAUAAUGCAAUCUAUAAAAGGGAAUUGCGAUAGUUGAAAUAGUUAAAGGCAUUUAUUAGAACUACAGUUAAAGCAAAAUACGUACUAAUCAACUACCCAUAUUUGAGAUGAGUCAAUGUUUGAGUCUCGUGAAUGCUAUCCAAGAAAUCAGGGGAUUUUAGCAAUCCUCUAGCCAAAGUUUGGUUGCUGGACUUGGAGAUCCAUCGCUGGAAGCGGCCGAUAGAAGAGAUCGAAGGAGGACCCUCCU